Molecule: small RNA, 1101 nt
Filed under: Arabidopsis thaliana (thale cress)
Lineage: Eukaryota; Viridiplantae; Streptophyta; Magnoliopsida; Brassicales; Brassicaceae
Description: ATSL191300
Source: RNAcentral
AUCAUUUUUGAUUUUGGUGAGGCUGCUCUGAUAAGCUUUCAGUAUGAAAGACUUAGGAGAAUCUGUAGUAGCUGCUUCAGAAUGACUCAUCACAGGAACUCAUGUCCUUACCGUCAGAUUGAGCCUCUCCAUAGGGUGACUAACUCCACUGCUCAAAGGAAUGUUAGAGAAGAGGUGUUCAUGAGAGAUGAAAAUCUGAGAUCUUCAAUGAAUUCACAAUCUCAGAUGUCUGAGAGUUCGUUUCCUACUCCUAUCGAUCCACCUCCAAGGAUUCCUCAUCCUCCUUUAAAUCCUGAUGAAUUGGUGGCUGCAUAUUACCCUCAUACAAGAGCUACUUCUUUACCAAACUUUGCAGGUCCUUUGCCUCAGGUACCUCUUAGAAAAAAUGUGGAUGAAAGGGAUUCUAACAUCCAGCCUUUCUCCGGACCUGCAUUUGCAGCACACUCUCCACGCCUAGUGGAAGUAGGUGAAUCAUCAAGGCAAGGUGAGAAUACUCAGAAUGUUCACACGGUGGAAAAGGGGGAUUCAUCAAAAAGAAAGAACAUGGGUGGUCCCAGGUUUAAAGAUGAUGCAAGAAAGUCCAAUGAAGAUGAGCAUAUGAAUGGAGGGAUUCUGAAACCUCCAAAAAAGCGUUGAUCACUCUGCUAUAAUUCUGUCAUGUUUUUUAAUUUAGUUGCUUUCAGUUCAAUCAAGCAGCCACAAGAUAUGAAGAAGAUGGUAUGGCCUAGUAUCCCUUUUUGGUUUUGGCAUACCCGAAGUGUAAUGUUAUGUGGUGUAAUGCUCUACUCUAAUUACCCUUACUCUACUCUUUUGUUUUACAACUUAGAUGACUCUCUAGUUAGAUAAUCUAAUGUUGUAAGUGGUAAAAGUGUGUGUCAAACUCUGAAAGUGGAUGUUCUUCCACUGUUGGAUCGUUUACAACUGCUGUUUUUAAUAAAAAGGGUAAUACUUAUGAGAAAAAAAAAAGACAUCUCUAACGAUCAAAAGACUGGACACCAGGUUCAGUUUGUUUUCACAGUAAAUGCAAUUUAACCAUCAAUUUUUUUCACUAAUUUUUGACUCUUCCUCAGAAAAGGUAGGAUGAUAGGAUGAUAAGUAAAC